RNAcentral lists this ribosomal RNA (239 nucleotides) under uncultured bacterium. RNAcentral describes it as "partial 16S ribosomal RNA". It matches the Rfam family "Bacterial small subunit ribosomal RNA", at positions 15 to 236 of the family's 1533-position model. The record is from RNAcentral.
GAUCCUGGCUCAGGAUGAACGCUGGCGGCGUGCCUAACACAUGCAAGUCGAGCGAAGCGGUUUUAAGGAAGUUUUCGGAUGGAAUUAAAACUGACUGAGCGGCGGACGGGUGAGUAACGCGUGGGUAACCUGCCUCAUACAGGGGGAUAACAGUUAGAAAUGGCUGCUAAUACCGCAUAAGCACACAGCUUCGCAUGGAGCAGUGUGAAAAACUCCGGUGGUAUGAGAUGGACCCGCGU